GGCGAGCCACGGCUUAGUGGGUUC
This 24-nucleotide microRNA is filed under the name Branchiostoma belcheri (Belcher's lancelet). RNAcentral's name for it is "bbe-miR-4867-3p". The record is from miRBase by way of RNAcentral. Lineage: Eukaryota; Metazoa; Chordata; Leptocardii; Amphioxiformes; Branchiostomatidae.